CAUUUCUCAGUUGAGAGAAUUAUCAUGUGGCUACAGGGUUUUAAUAAACCUUUUUGCAGCUAAAAUAAAAUGUUGAGGUUUGAUGGGAAAGCAGAUUGAAGUGGAACAUUGGUUACAUCAGUAAAUGUGCCUUAUUCUCAAUUGGCAGUGGUGAGUGUGAGUCAGUUUGUUUCAGCCUCUAAAAAUACCAUAUGUCUUUAUAAUUCCAAACAAGUCCUUAAGAUGGACAGAAGGAGUGUGCUUUUUUUUUUGCUUAAAUAUGGCUGCUGAAUAGCUCUGAAAACACAACAGCCCACAUCCUGGUUCACCACUGCCAUCCACCUCAUCAAAAAGAGUGACCUCAUAAAGGGACUUCUGACACUCUCAGCUGAAGUACAAGAAAAGGACUUCACACAUCCGAAGUACAAGAAAAGGACUUUUCCCUAAUUUUAGAAACCAAAGUGAAGGGGUGGACAUAUGGAUGCUUGAGUAUCUGUCUAAUACAGCAUCAAGAUAGAGCUGUAGCUUAUACCCAGACUUGGUUAACUCACUUUAUGAUUCUCAUGACCUGAAUCAAAAAAUAGCUUUAAGAUGGCUGAAUGGAUACUCCUCUAGUGAAUUGUUUUCUAUAAUUCAGAACCUGGAAUGCUACCUGCAGAUUAUGGAAGAUGGUAAAAUUCAUAACCUGGCAAAAGGGAAAAUAUUCACAUAAUUCUCUCGGCAAGAAACCAAAUCAAACUAUUCUUUUUAAUUGCAGGUGAGUAAUAGCACUCUUACAUUUCAUACAAAUAACGUCAGCACUCUCCUGCUCUGUGAUUGAUGGGAUGUUUUAAGUGGAGUACCUUAACUCAGCACAGCUGGUCUCUCGUUGGAUUCCUCUCCUAGCCUAAGAAAUUUUUGGGUUUGGAUGUAUUGGCAACAACUUUCCCUUCUAAGGCUGAAAAAUACUCCUCAAGAGAAUAGAUGUUGAAUUGUUAGCUCUCUGCUUGGUCUAUAUCCUUGCUAGUGAAAACCAGGAAUUACUGUGAGUUUUGUUUGGU
Molecule: long non-coding RNA, 1019 nt
Filed under: Taeniopygia guttata (zebra finch)
Lineage: Eukaryota; Metazoa; Chordata; Aves; Passeriformes; Estrildidae
Description: lncRNA (ENSTGUG00000022213.1)
Source: RNAcentral